GGGGGUCUCCAGUCAUGACUGUUAAUAGCUUCUGAUGAAUAUGUUGUGCCUCUAUGGGGUUAUGGGUAUCUUCAACAUAGUAGGGAGCACCAUUCUCAACAUGGUGGAGCAAUUUCCAACUGUACUCUGUCCUGGGCUGCCUUUCUGUCCUCCUGUUCUUACAGGGCAGUGUCUCCGUGGCUGGCUGUGUUUGACACGUGGGUGGGUUUGAGCCUCUGAUGUAGCCAGGGUUCUCCAGCGCACAGUGUGUUUUGGUAGUCUCACAGACGGUGUUGGGCAACAAAGACAGGAGAAAAGACGCAGCUGCGUGGGCAGGGGGCUUAUCACUGGACACUUGGUUGCAGAGCUCCUCAAAGGCGGUUUUUUUGAGCCUGGUGACGGGUGGGACUGAGGUGAUAUAGAACAUUCUAAGGAGAUUAAGCAGAGAAAAUUUAAUUAUUCUAAAGAAGCCCUCAUCCCAGUUUGAAACUUUUAACAGGGCCAUGUCCAGGCAAGAAAGAUUCUGAUGAACUCUCACAAUAAUAGAGACACACAGCCCCUGACUUCCAACUGGGCCUCCAGACUCACCUGCCUUCAUAAAUUUUCCCCAAACUCUUCUAUAAGGCAGGACGUGACCAGAUUGAUAAUCACACACAGAGGAGGUGUACACAAAGUUCCUGUUGGGUAGUAUGCCAUAAAUUGCCAAUAAAUGUUCUGGGAGAAACAGAUCGACCAGGAGCUCAUCUUGUUGUAAAGGAACACUUUUUUUAUUUAUUCUAAAUACAUCCAUUUCUCUCUAAUUUUCUUGGCAAUGGUGUCAUACUUUUUAUUUCUGGUGCAUUUAAAUAGCAUGUGGCCAUAUAUGGUUUUGUUGGCAUAGAUUGACAUAAUAAUAUGGACAAACAUGCUACAAAGUAUGGAAUAGCCUUGGCUAUUACAAUUAAUGAUGUUGGCGCACAUUGGAAAGGUACACUCAAUUUUCUUCUUGAUGUGCUCAUUUAGGGAGUCUCCAGCGAGGAUCUUAUCUUUAAUUUCAGCAAUAUCAUCCAAUUUAUUAAUAAUAUCUACAAUGUCACCAAACAGUGCCCGCAGAAUGCAGUCUGUAUUGUCCUCUGGGUGAAUGUCCACGUCCAGACACGCUGCCCCACACAUGGGUGAUUCCCUGACAUUACACUGGAUAUACUUUCCAGUGACUGUGCACACAAUUCCCUCUCGAUCCACCAGAGGAUCACAGUUGAGAGAACCAUUACACAAGUGAUAAUCAUCACAAUUUAGACACUGGUACAAAUUUUGCACGUUAUAGGCCUCUGUUAAAGGGUUAGAAAGAGGCCGCAUCAUACACUUGUCUUGGCCGCGCUUGCAUCUUUUAUACAUUCUGUUCCUACCAAGUCUAGCAGGAGACAGAUAUUUUCAAUACCUUGGGUGGUUGACCUGACAAGUUCCAAAUCAGAAGUGGUUUUUGACACCUCAGCAAUGAGAGCAUGUAAUGGUCUGUUAAAAAAAUUCACCACAUCCAGGAGAUCCUGAUCAGUAACCAGAUUCUUUGAUUUAUUCACAGAGCAUCCGGGGGCAGACAUUUAAUCUACUGUUUGUUGAUGAAGCAAAUUUCAUAAAGAAGGAAGCACUUCCAGCAAUCUUGGGGUUUAUGUUACAGAAGGAUGCCAAGAUCUUUUUUAUCUCCUCUGUAAAUUCAGGAGAGAAGACAACAAGUUUUUUGUAUAACCUCAAAGAUGCCAAUGAGAAGAUGGUGAACGUUGUCAGCUAUGUCUGUAGCGAACAUAUGGAAGACUUCAACAAACAGAGCGCAAUCACUGCCUGCCCUUGCUAUCGCCUGUAUGUUCCAGAAUUUAUCACCAUCAAUGAUAAUAUAAAGUGUACCACCAAUUUACUGCUAGAGGGAUCAUUUGCCACAGAAUUAAUGGGCAAUAUGCAAUCACACACGGAAGUCUCUGGGAACAGUAUGAUACACGAGUCCAGUCUGACCCGGCUAGACUUUUAUAGGUGUGACACUGCGGGCCAGGGGGCCCCAACUACAGAAAAUACACUUUUUGUGUAUAUUGACCCCGCCUAUGGAAACAACGUCCACGCCUCUGGAACUGGUAUAGUUGCCAUGAGUCACUGUAAACACACUAAAAAGUGUAUUAUCUUAGGGUUGGAACAUUUCUUCCUGAACAACCUCACUGGAACUGCUGCUCACAACAUAGCCUCAUGUGCCACUGCUCUGUUGGAGGGAAUAUUGUUUCAACACCCCUGGAUUCAAGAAAUCAGGUGUAUAAUAGAGGGAAAUAGCAAUCAAGACUCAGCUGUAGCCAUAGCAACUUUUAUUUCCCACAACAUUAAACUACCAACCCUGUUUGCCUCCUACAGAGACAAGACUGGAAUGCAAUGGCCUAUUUAUAUGUUGAGUGGAGACAAGACACUGGCCUUCCAAAACUUUAUCUCUUCAUUGAACCAGGGAUUGCUCUGUGCCAGCCAAACCGUGGUAUCUAACACUGUCCUGCUGUCUAGUGACCCAAUCUCCUAUCUGAUUGAACAGAUAAAAAAUACCAAAUGUAUAUACCACAAGAACAAAACCAUAACCUUCCAAUCCAAAACACAUACAAUGUCUGAUGAUGUUCUAAUUGCGUGUGUUAUGACCUGUUACGUGAUGACAACAAACAAGAUAUCAUACAUCUCUUUUUCAAUAAAAUAAUCUUUAUUUAG
This 2682-nucleotide non-coding RNA is filed under the name synthetic construct. The record is from RNAcentral.